UACGUAGGUGGCAAGCGUUGUCCGGAUUUACUGGGUGUAAAGGGCGUGUAGCCGGGUUGACAAGUCAGAUGUGAAAUCCUGCGGCUUAACCGCGGAACUGCAUUUGAAACUGUUGAUCUUGAGUACUGGAGAGGCAGACGGAAUUCCUAGUGUAGCGGUGAAAUGCGUAGAUAUUAGGAGGGACACCAGUGGCGAAGGCGGUCUGCUGGACAGCAACUGACGGUGAGGCGCGAAAGCGUGGGGAGCAAACAGG
This 253-nucleotide ribosomal RNA is filed under the name uncultured bacterium. RNAcentral's name for it is "partial 16S ribosomal RNA". It matches the Rfam family "Bacterial small subunit ribosomal RNA", at positions 524 to 776 of the family's 1533-position model. The record is from RNAcentral.